This is a long non-coding RNA of Daphnia pulex (common water flea), 800 nucleotides long. RefSeq lists it as uncharacterized. The record is from RefSeq and is a predicted model, not a curated record. NCBI's taxonomy places the organism in Eukaryota, Metazoa, Arthropoda, Branchiopoda, Diplostraca, Daphniidae. The transcript is spliced from 5 exons.
AAAAUGGAGGGAGAUUUUUGUGUGAAAACCGCAGACAACAAAUCAAUUAUAUCCUGGCCGCCGGAAAUGUGGAAGCAAUUCCCCAGGAGAUAACCUCAUUUUAUAUAAUGAUUUCAAAAGAUUGGAACGAAACGUGUUUUUGUUUCCCCCUUUUCUUCCGAAUUCAAGAUAAUUGGCAAUGUUUUGGCUGGGUGAAAAUGAGGUCGGGAUUUCGAAGAAGACGUUUUGCCAGAAUCAAAAUGCUCGUGGAAUGUGAAACUCUUGCAUUAAAAAAACAACAAUGUUGGAAAGUGAUGUUUACACGGAUGAUGAAGCCCUUGGAUGAAGUGAAACGGAGUGGAAUAAAAUCGAAAGUUGAGCUAUUGCAACGAGCCGUGAAAUAACCAAACGUCACCGUCUCCUUUAUCGACGAUAUUCGACCACAAUGGCCGAGAUCGACGACGUGUGCAACACAUCACAUUUCUGCCAUAAGUUCUCGAAGCUUAACUUUAUAGCUGAUAAUAGAAAAAAAAAGGACUCCCAAAGCCCCUCGAGGACGUGAAGAAGAAACUGGAAAUGUGUCUAAAUGGCCGCUGGAGAAGAACUCGCUUCCCAAUAUUUAAAGUCGAAGAGGAGAGAGAGAGAGAAAGGAGCUGAAAGAGACUGGACAUCCAUCCCAAUAUCGUCUCCAGGGUCGUCCUAUUCCAAUGAUGAGGAGCGCAAGAUAAUAAACAAAAAAAACUACACAGACAUCAGUUUGACGACCGCGGCCUUCACAAAAUUCAAUUUCGGCAGAGCCCACCAGACGAAUAUAUUUUUUG